Long non-coding RNA from Manduca sexta (tobacco hornworm), 512 nucleotides. RefSeq lists it as uncharacterized. The record is from RefSeq and is a predicted model, not a curated record. NCBI's taxonomy places the organism in Eukaryota, Metazoa, Arthropoda, Insecta, Lepidoptera, Sphingidae. The transcript is spliced from 2 exons.
AUUAUUUACCUAGUUCUUAUUUAAUGUAUAGUCGAUGUGGAAUUGAACUGUUUUCUUAUUUACGACAAAAAUCUGAAUGAUAUGGCUUAAUGUACUAGCCUGGCAUAGUGUACAUUUACCUUAAUUCUUUUUUUUUACCUGUGUUUUGACCUACAGUAUGACAUCAAUUAAUUUUGAGAUGCUAGUCUCGCCACAAUACAAGUAAAAUAAGACCAAAUGGCACAAGAAUUGGAUAGAAGAAUAACAAAUGCAUGGAAGAGAUUUUGGUCACUCAAAGACAUGAUGAAAAACAAAAAAUACACCAUAAAAAUAAAAAGAAAACUGUUCAAUUCAUGCAUAUUGCCAACUCUUAUUUAUGGCUGCCAAACAUGGGCUAUGACACAAAAACUUCACCACAAAUUAAGAACUUGCCAGAGGAGCAUGGAGAGGAGCAUCCUGGGCUACAAAAUAAAAGACAAAAAGUGAGCGACAGACAUGAGAAGGAUAGCAAAAAUCGAAGAUGUAACCAAGAA